GUAAGGUCGGAUUGUCUCAUCGUGAGUUGUGUGUGAUUUACCUGAUAUUUUCAUGCGCAAUCAUGCCGUAGACAUAACAGUGGUAAUGAAUAUCGCUGCUACACCAUUAAAGUACACAACGGAACAAUAAGCGUCACAAUUGCUGGAAUGUCAUGUUAGCAAACCCAUUUAGACAAACUUUAAAUUGCAAGAGCAGCUAGUACCCCGGUGGCAGAAUAAUCAUGAUUUCUCAUUCUGUCUAAUUGACAAUUGUUACCAACAGAACGUAAAAGCGUGAUGAUUUUGCCGCCAGGGUAGUAACGGAUCGAAUUUAAAUCGCCUUUUUGUUUGAGCUACAAAGAAUUGAAUAAGUGACCAAUUAUCUUAAUUAUAAAUCCUGAUAUUUGUUAAGUUUAAGCUUUUGUCGCGGAAUGUGCAGCUAUAGUAUAACUCAAAUAUGAUCGUACAAUUUAGGGAUAUGAAGUAAG
Molecule: long non-coding RNA, 467 nt
Organism: Anopheles coustani
Lineage: Eukaryota; Metazoa; Arthropoda; Insecta; Diptera; Culicidae
Exons: 3
Source: RefSeq, a predicted model, not a curated record